CAAUAUUUCCUUGUUUUUACAGGAUAAUAAACACAGAAGAAGAAUUUAAAAAGGAACGAUCUUCUUUAACUGAAAGGAUUGAAGAACUAACUUUGUUUAAAGACAGAGUUGCAGGAGAUGUUGCUUCUUCAAUCAAAACAGGAACAACCGUCAACCUUAACAAUCCAGUUAGUAAACCAAGGCUAAUUGAGCUAUAUGAUGAUCUGAGGCGCAGGUGGCCGAAAAUAAAAAGUAAUCUAAAAUCAAGACAGGAAAAUCCGGACAGAACCAGAAAAGUGAUACAGACACAAUUUAAAAAAGCAAAAACUGAUAUGUUAGAAAAGAAGUGGAAAAUAGAUGAUAUUUUUGGACUGAAUAAGACCAAAACUGAGGCACCAGCUUCAAAGGUUAGGGAGUGCAGAAAGUUAACCAUUCAGAAUCUGCAAAUGGCCAUCUACAGUGACAAACAGUGGGGUUUAAAGGAUCCAACACAAGUAACAAUGCUUGAAACACUGAAGGAUGUGAUAAAUGAUUUGGAAACUGAGUGCUACAGGCUGGGCUGCCUGAUGGCUCUGAAUGAUCCUCCUCUUGAACCUGACUGGAAUGAUCCCCCCGAAACAUAUGACAAGUGGGACAUUCUCCCUAAAAAUAUCACAGAGUCUGUAAAGAACCAAGAAAAGAUUGCAUCCGUUUAUUUGUGAAAGUACUGAAUUGUCACAUUAAUGUCAGAAUGAAUAGGUUAAUUGCUUAGAUUCUUUACUCUCCUUUGUGUAAAAUGAUAGAUUAUUUGGCAGCUUCGUUGAGCUUUUUGGUAAAUUUCAACUUAAAAAUAGAAAAUAUUCAUUAUUGCCUGUACUAUGUGUUAGUUUCCUUUUGGUUGUUUCUUAAUUUCUGUACUUUCUGAUCAUAUCUGUCAGCCUAAUGCUGUUAUAAUGCUGUAGUCAAAUGUUACCAGCUACUAGUUUUACUCUGUAAGACACGUACUACUUAGACUAGAUUUACACUUUUGAUAACGCUUAUACUUAAAGUAGCUCAGCUUAUCCUAAUCAAUCUCUGUAGUUAUGUGGCCAUAGGGUUAGGCUGCUUGAGGACAUAGGAACCACGUUUCAUCAUUUAACUUUAUCCUACAUCUAUUUUCUAAUUUUAUGUUAGUUUAACUUCAGGUUUUAUUGUAUUAUCUCUGAUUUUUCUCAUCAUGGUAGCUUCAUCUGGCCUUGAGUUCUUUAGCCGUGACACCAUUCUGGAGGGAAGCAUUAGCUGUGUUACUGCAGUCAGCAACUUCCCUCAUAGAUGAUGUAGUUGGGGCUGUUUCUGAGUGCUUUGUUCGGUGCUCUCUUUCAUCUCUUUUGACAUGAAAACUGGCUUUACUGUUUCUUUACUGUUUCUUUCCUAAACACAGGCACAGAUGGAGAUAGUCUUACCCUUUCUAACAUAGAAAUAUAUAUUUAUACAUCAGUAUUUCUACGUUCCUUUUGGGUGACUGCUACUGUCUUCUUAAAAACCAUCUUAACAUCUGAAGAGAGCUG
Cyprinodon tularosa is the source of this 1505-nucleotide long non-coding RNA. RefSeq lists it as uncharacterized. The record is from RefSeq and is a predicted model, not a curated record. NCBI's taxonomy places the organism in Eukaryota, Metazoa, Chordata, Actinopteri, Cyprinodontiformes, Cyprinodontidae. The transcript is spliced from 6 exons.